ACAUAGAUGAAGUUUAUAGCAGCGAAUCAAGUAUUAUAGGCAGUUUGAAAUCAGUGAAUGACUUCAAUCCAGUUGAAGUUCCUUCAAAUUCCCCUUUGAAUUUUGAUAUGGUGAUGCUUGAGAUUUAUUGAGUCCGAAUUUGGAAAACUGUGCUGAAAUAAAAGUUGUAGAUCGUCUCAAUACGAGUUCGUGACCACAAACGGUUUGUAAAUCCGAGUUCGGACGAGGAAGAUAUGGCCGAAACAAGAAAGUUGCGCGCAGCAGUGAAUAGUACCCGACGGGAAUUUCCGAAUUUUCGGGAUUUUGCGGGAUUUUCGGAUUUUAUCAGUAUUUUCGAGCUCUAUACUGUAUUUAUCCCUUGUGCCUAUAUAUAGGUCAUUUCCCUGACCUAUUAGACACAUCUUUUCACAUCUCUUCACCUCCUUUCUUUUUCUUUUUUUCAGUUUUACAUUCAGUUUUCAUAGAUUAGAUUUAUUUAUGCAGAUUCAAGCUGUUCAUCCAGAAUUUAUUCCGGGUUUUAUCUAUUUCAUUUAUUUUAAUUGCUUUCUACGUUCUGUUGCCUGUCUACUACUUAAGUUUGUUUAGGAGAUAGAUAAAGUCGUUUCGUUGUGUCAAUCCCUGUGGAUACGAUAUUCGGUUACUUAUUAUUUUUGCUACAACUGCACCGUGUUAGUUGCGGUAUUUUGUGCUAAUAAUUUAGUGAUCACUGUGUAUCUCCUCAAUAGACUCCAGAUCAGCGUGAUCUCUGCGUCUAAUUGACUUAUGAAAUAUGAUUAAGAGUUGAUCAAGAAAGCUCUUGGUCAUGUUAACCGAUUAGUGAUUUCCAUUUAUGCAAUUACUACUAUUUAUUCACUAUAAUCAAUGAUACGCAGGACAAAGAACCACCUCAUGGCAAUGAUGACGAUCAGCCCAUGGCAUCUGGAGAAGAAGAUGGAAAAGUUAAUGCAAAGGAGAAAUCUGGUUCUGGAGUUGGUCCAGAAGUUGGGGAAAAUACUUACUCUGCAGUGGCUAUAGGAAUAAAUAUAUGGGUGGCCAACGAUUAUGUACCUAUGGUUGAACCAAUACUUCACUUAUUUAUUAGAAUGUUCUUUAUAUUGAGAUGCAUUACUUAUUAUUUGUUAUUUUGCUGAUUUAACCAAUGCUUUCAAUAAAUUUAGAUACGCUAUGCAAUAGCCCAAAGACCCGUUUUUAGCUUCAGUUUGAAGGGCUAAAUGAAAGGGACAUUCUAUGAAAGGGAUCCAGACUCGCCUUAUCUAAUCAAUGCCUUUCAGCUGAUUGGAAUGUCCUCGUGCCUCGACCUUUCUGGCUUCUUUGAGAAAGAGUUUGUUUCUGAGAGGAAUAUCAGGUUUACAUCAAAUCACUGUCCAAAAGAAUUACUGGAGAGAAUUGAACAUACAGUUGUAGAAAUGGGAUUUCAUGCCCAUAAGAAAAACGGAAAGUUGAAAGUCACGCUAUAACUCAAAGAUCAGAAAGCACCAAAAAUUCUCUCAGUAGCUGCAGAAGUGAGUGAGAGUGAAUGUGGAAGGAGAUGCUGGUAUAGCUAGCUUCCCAUGGUCUCUUUAUUCUGUUACUUAGGCUCUUCUUAUUUUAGUUGGUGAUUAGAGACGAUGUCAUUGUGUGUAUGUGGCAUAAUUCUAUUGUUACUAAUAUGAUAGGCACGAUCAUGCGAGGGCUGUGGAGAUUCUUACAAUUGUCUUUGAAUAACCCAGAAUGACAAUACAUGGAUUCUCUUAGAUGCAUGAGUAUUGCUCAUUUGUAUUCUUAAAAAUGUAUGUUUUGAGAAAACAGUAUAGUAUGCAUCGAAUAGUAUCUAUUUUACAACUAUCAAUAUGAAUUUUUUGUAUCAAGAACUGUUUCAGCUAUGGUGCUGGCUUGCUCGGUUCUUUGGCAUCCAUGUGAAUGCUUGGCAGUAUUGAUUCCAUGGCCGAUGGAGCAAGAGAGGUGAUCAAAACUUCUCAUUGCACGGGAGUAAUGGAGCAGCCAAGACUGUUGGUCACAUAUUACAAGCUUUAGCAUGUCUGCCGAUUUUAUUGUCCUCACUCUUAAGAUGAAAAGUUAUAUUCAGAACAACUUAUGAAUAGUUUGGAUUCGAGUUCAGAGCCUUAAAGAAGGUCAAAUCACAAUGGAUAUUGACUUACGCUGGGGUGGUCAUCCUACCAAAACAAAUCUGUAUUUUGCAUCAAGUUUAGCACAUCUGAUUCCCUUAACAUCCUACUCUUCUCAUCUCUCUCAACUACUCUGGUACCUUUCAUGCCAGUUGGAGAUCCCAAAGCAGUUAUUUCAUCCAAAUGUAUUCAAUGGCUGAAUAAUUCUUUUCUUGAAUAUAUUGGAGAGGCUUGUCUCGGCAGAAGGACAACAACCGCCUUUACACUAGGUAGGUUCUUAUCUAUAGUCAUUCUAUGACCAUGUAGUUGGACUUGAUUUCAUUAAUACUUUUGUGUUCCCUUGCUUUCCCCGGGUUUGGGGAUGUGAAACUUCAAAACCCAGAAAACAAAGCUUUUUCCCAUAAGUUCCAUAAGAAUUAUGCGGGGAAGAUUUUGGCGUGCCAUCUAAAUUUGUUGAAUGUGAUCCGUGUUGGAGGCUAUUUGCCUGAGAUAGUUAUCGAUCUUAUCUUGCAAUAUCUUAGCAAUAGGUUCAUAAUCAA
Molecule: RNA transcript, 2644 nt
Organism: Salvia miltiorrhiza (redroot sage)
Lineage: Eukaryota; Viridiplantae; Streptophyta; Magnoliopsida; Lamiales; Lamiaceae
Gene name: guanine nucleotide-binding protein-like NSN1
Exons: 7
Source: RefSeq, a predicted model, not a curated record